AUAUGAUUACGCACAAGCGUGACGCGUCAACCCGGUCUCACAGUAAGACCGGGUUGGACCUGUUCAGGUUUACGCAGACAAUCUUUACAUUUAGAAUUGGCAUACAGAUGUAAAAUUAAUGCAGUAAAAUAUAAAGCAUUUUAUUUAAAUAUCCAUUCAUUAUUUUACAAGCACAGAGAGCCGCAUCAGAUGGAUGGAAGAGCCGCGGGUUGCCGACCCCCGUGCUAGACCUUGAAGUUGUCACAAGGGGGAGGGGUGGCGUCAGCUGGGAGGGCAGGUGUUGUGAGAAAUUGUGUUCCUCUGAAAUAUUCUGUCCCCCCGUGUCGGGAAGUCGUACUUCAGGUUAUCUUCACAACAUCUGUGAUCGACUUUUAUGGGAAAAUCAUGCAAUGUAAUAAAGUCGUGCUUGAGCUGUUUUUCUGUCUAUAUGUCCUCCUAAACACAAUAAAAAAGGUUCAGUGAAAACAUUCCUGUUCGCGUUUUACAAGCUUAUUUAUCGUUUUUAAAAGUUAUGUAAAAGGAUGUCGUCUCGCUCGGUUCUUAGAGGUUGUUUGGUCCUCAUAAUGGACAAUACGUUAGGAAAUAUUUGCUCUCGACUGCCUAAGAGAAACAGAAUAUUUUAGGGGAACAUAAUUUCCUACAACACCCGUUUCACGUGGAUGAGAGCAGCUUUGUAAACAAGCUAGCUAACAGCUAACGGACGUGGAAAAAGAAAGAAAACAGCGCCGUGGCUGGUGAAGGAGGGUUGGCGAGCCGGGGACACGGUGUGCAUGCUGUGUGUGUGUAAACACGGAUUACCAGCUGAAGGGGACCCACGUCCAAAGGCGUGGAGAGCUACAUCGCCGUUAGUAAAAUGUUUAUCAAGUUAACAACGCUGAUUUAGCCACUGGUUAGCGGACGAGCACUGGAGCGCGUUGGGAGAGACGGCAGGCUGCGGGAAGAGAGGAGACUUGUGUUAAAAGACUUUGGAACGGACACGUUGGGACCGGAUCGGGAGUUCUGGUACGAAGAAAAGACGAAUGAGCAACUUGAGGUAAUAUGGGAUAAAUCUAAAAUUACCUAUCACCUGGUACUGAUGUUCUACCAGCACUGGAUUGGAGGACAUCCAUCUGCGGCAUCUAAUCAGACUGGUCUAGACCGGAGCAGCCCAUUGCUUGUUGUCUCAUUGCCCUGCUGUGAAUAUAAAUGUCCACCAGUUGACCUAUGGAGGCAGAUGAACUGCAUAGUUGAUCAACCUCCAUGAAAGGUGAAAUGAUGGGGAGGAUGAAGGCAGAAUCUGUAAUGAGCUUUAGGAGCUCACCUUCCUUAGAUCGUACACAGGGCGGCUUUUAGGAUCUCAGGGAAAAUAAAUCUAUCUGCAGCGUUCUGUCCUGGCUGAUGCAGACAGUGAGUAGGUGGCAUAGAUGGAAUGUCAGCCAUGAAGCUGGGAACUGAGCUGGCUUUCUUGGCUCUGCAGCCUUUUUAAAGCAGUCUCUUUAAGAGAACGCCAGUUUCAAUGAAUGUCUUGCAGAGUUAGCACAAACUCCUGGGAGAUGAAGGCAGCAAGUGUCCUGGAAAAGCCCAACUCUUCAAAAGCUUGCGAGGCUGUUCUUCUGGAGAAGGUGACGUAAUCUCAGGCUCUUGUCUUAUUAGGGUAUGUGGAAAACAGACACCUACACAGAUGGGAGCUGGAUACAACAAACUCCUUUUUUUCCUGACAAAAUGCUAAUUUGGAGAAAGUAAACUGCUCCGUUGGCAGAGUGGUGAGUUCACACCAAACCCCACGCUUAAGUUGGUGCUAAUCAAAAUGCACCGUCAGUAGCAAAAGCUUGGAGCUCGAUUUCUAAACCACAUAAACCCUUUUAAUUAUCUUUUGUUAUUAGUCACUUAGCGAUUGUCAACCGCCUCAUCAACACACACACACACACAACCCAGGACAGAAACUCGUUUCAGCCAAUCAGUGCAUUCGUUAGAAGGUAGACAGGCUGACCGCAGCAGUUUGAGCGCUGUGUUAGUUAGCUUAGUAAGAUUAAUGAAAUGUUAAUAUGACACAUAUAUACCGUAAAUCCUCUAAUACAGGCCCAGGCCUUUAUUUGACUCAAGCUCAUCAAGCUCCAGGCCUUUAUUGGAAGGAGGGCCAGUAUUAGAGGCAGGCCUCUAUUUCUAUUUGAGCAAAAUGAACUAAUGGUUCGCUGGAGUUUUUGACAAUUAAAAGUGCACCCACAUUUUCAAAGUUAAACACAUUUCUUUUAACAACGGUAGUUUCUGCUUCAGCCCUCUCCCCCCUCCCCCUGC
Molecule: long non-coding RNA, 2274 nt
Filed under: Nothobranchius furzeri (turquoise killifish)
Lineage: Eukaryota; Metazoa; Chordata; Actinopteri; Cyprinodontiformes; Nothobranchiidae
Description: lncRNA (ENSNFUG00015017254.1)
Source: RNAcentral